ACACGCAUGACACACUGCAUAUCAAUAAGCGGAGGAAAAGAAACUAACAAGGAUUCCCUUAGUAACGGCGAGUGAAGCGGGAAGAGCUCAAAUUUGAAAUCUUCAAGGUUCUACCUUGACGAAUUGUAGUUUAAUAGAAGUGUUUUCUGUUAGUAGGAGUGGCAAAAGUUCUUUGGAAUAGGACAUCAUAGAGGGUGAGAAUCCCGUAUUUGGUCAUUCCUCCUAGCGUUGUGAUACACUUUCAACGAGUCGGAUUGUUUGGGAAUGCAGUCCAAAAUGGGUGGUAAAUUUCAUCUAAAGCUAAAUAUUGGCGAGAGACCGAUAGCGAACAAGUACCGUGAGGGAAAGAUGAAAAGAACUUUGAAAAGAGAGUUAAACAGUACGUGAAAUUGUCAAAAGGGAAGCGUUUGACACCAGUGUUGUUUUUCCGAAAAUCAAUUACGAAUGUUUUAGUUUUUGAGGAGUUAUGACUUCAUUGGCUUGCUCCUUUCUUUAUGAAACUUUCUUAAUGCACUUUUCGGUUAACAAGUCAACAUCAAUUUCUUUUGUUGUAAAAGGGUAUGAGGAAGGUGGCUUUCUUUUCGGAGAAAGUGUUUAUAGCCUUGUGCCUCUGCAAUCGGAGAGAUUGAGGUCUGCAGCGUAGAUCCUUCGGGGUUAGAUACAUUUGUGCUAAGUUAUAGCUUUUCAUAGACAACUUGUUGACUAUGUUUAGUCUUGUAGCUUACUCGCUUACUGCUAUUUUACCUACGCUUAGGAUGUUGACUGAUAUGUAGUCGUA
RNAcentral lists this ribosomal RNA (778 nucleotides) under uncultured Neocallimastigales. Its description in RNAcentral is "partial large subunit ribosomal RNA". It matches the Rfam family "Eukaryotic large subunit ribosomal RNA", at positions 23 to 644 of the family's 3401-position model. The record is from RNAcentral. Lineage: Eukaryota; Fungi; Neocallimastigomycota; Neocallimastigomycetes; Neocallimastigales.